GACGAACCGUACGAACGUUAUUCGGAAUCACUGGGCGUAAAGGGUGCGUAGGCGGCGCGGUAAGUCGGGUGUGAAAUCUCGGAGCUUAACUCCGAAACUGCAUUCGAUACUGCCGUGCUUGAGGACUGGAGAGGAGACUGGAAUUUACGGUGUAGCGGUGAAAUGCGUAGAUAUCGUAAGGAAGACCAGUGGCGAAGGCGGGUCUCUGGACAGUUCCUGACGCUGAGGCACGAAGGCCAGGGGAGCAAACGGG
This 253-nucleotide ribosomal RNA is filed under the name uncultured bacterium. RNAcentral describes it as "partial 16S ribosomal RNA". It matches the Rfam family "Bacterial small subunit ribosomal RNA", at positions 524 to 776 of the family's 1533-position model. The record is from RNAcentral.